RNAcentral lists this unclassified non-coding RNA (259 nucleotides) under Hevea brasiliensis (rubber tree). The record is from RNAcentral. Lineage: Eukaryota; Viridiplantae; Streptophyta; Magnoliopsida; Malpighiales; Euphorbiaceae.
UGCUUGAGGAAAAUAUGUUGGGGAGCAAAGAAGAUCAAGCCAUAAAGACUUCAAUUGACAUUGAAGAAAAUCAAUCUGUUGAGCUAACAAUGAAAAUUAAAAAUUUUGAUGUUUCGAUUGAUUUUAUUUGUUCUGAUAUUUCUACAGAUAUACAAAAACAAAUGAAGUUAUUCAUUUCCAAUUUGAUGUUGUCAUCCAAGAAGAUAAUAGUGUUUUCUCCUUGCUCGAUUUUUGUUUCUCCUGCACUUCAAGACUCGAG